UAGGCGUCAUCGUGGUCCUUUCAACAGCAAGCCCACCUUUGAAAGUAACAAUCUAGUGCUGAUUUAAGGAUGAAGCAAAUCCCACGCAAGUAACAGGUUAGUCUAUUUUGAUGCAUACUCUUAAUGUUCAAGCUAUGACACUACAUACAUGUGUCCACGUGCAUAUGUGGUGGUAGUGUGAUUGCAUCUUCGUGGAGAUUGUAAGCCACCUUAGGACUUAGGUGCAUGGUUCUGCAUUCGUUUUCUUCUUGUCUUGCAUAUGUAGUUAUGUUCUUCUAUAAUAGAUUUACCUCAUGCUUGGCCCUUUUAGUUGGUGUUGUUAAAGAAACUUCCCUUUCUACAAUUACGAGCUCGAAUCAAGAUCUCGAUGAAUGGAAUCUAAAAAAGAAAACUCAAUCAACAAAGAGAGGCGUGCUUAGAUUGUAGGUACACCCUUAUGGGAGCAAGAUUCUACUCCUUCGCUGUUUUAGUUCAAAUUUGAAAAUAAGUUUGAACAAAUUUGAAAAUAAGUUUGAACAAAAACAACAUGAGGUAUUAGCAUUCUUGCAAUGCUGGACAUGAUUUGUUGAGUAGCAUUCCCUCUCAAAUAACGCACGGUAGAAGUGGCAAGCUAUCCCAAAACCUAUCAAAAAUAAUAAUCAAAUGGGUAGUUGUUUGUUUCGAGGCCCCAAUAACGUCCAACACAUGUGCUAGCAAAAUUGUUUGGAACUUCUGUACUUGGACCUAGGCCAAAUGUUCACUGCUACACUGAUCUUAUGUGUAGUACAACCAAAUGUUGGAAGUAAACAAAAUUUUGGUUUGGUUCAGAGCAAUCACUGACCAAGCAGCUUCUGCGCACAUAAUCUGACCAGUAUAUUUUCAGGAUCAACGACGUUACAUUUUAUUAAGGUAUAAGCAUAUUGUUUAGGAACAGAAGUUCAUGUAGAACCAGCGCAAAUCGUAUCUGCUCUGAAUCUUCCACUAAGUAACAAAGAUAACCGAAUGAACUGUACGCAAGAACACAACUCUAUUAUUUUUCAGUGUUCUACAAUUAAAAGUAAUAAAAUGCACCCCCUACCAUCAGUAACAUUUACCAGAGCACAACUUUGACCACAAUAGGACUAAAGGCUCAACUUAUAUAGCAGCUGCUGGCUUCUUCUUCGAUGGUGGAUUCCCCCUGGCAAGCAACACAUACGAGUAGAAGCAGAUCAUCAAGGCAUUGGCGACAAGGGAAGUUGUAAGGAGGAAAGAAGUGUGCAAUGAGCAGCUGAAACACGAUAAAGAGACAAUCGAGAACUACCUGAGAGCAGUAUAGAAGCCCCAGGGAAGCAGCUUCUUUGUUUGUUAAAACAGAGUCAAUUGAUCAGAAUAAGAUUCGGAUUCACUAAUUUUUUACAGCAAAGUGGCAGUGUCACUUACCGUGGUAUACGCCUGGCAGUGCUUCCAUGCUACAACAGUAGCAACAGCUGCAAAUAACGAACAGAGGAGGUUAAUUACCGCCGGGAGUUUCCCCACAAUGUGGCACUUCGGUUUGGUAUAGUAGUAGAUUACCAGAGUCAAGGGUCAAAUAUUUAUACAAAUACCAAUAUGGACUGUUUAGACAUGCAUGUCAUUGUUAAUCCGAGGUGACUGGGAUGUAAGUAAGGGAAUCAAAAUACCUGCUUGUGCCAGUAUAAAUGGCAAGCUAGACUUUCCACUCCUCCAACCCUUAAUACUAAGCACGGCAAGUCCCAAUAUAGCAAGACCAGGUCGACCUCCGAAGGACGCAUCGGCAGGGACGCAUCGUCGACCUCCUGCUUCUUCUUGCAUCACAUACAAGAUGCCGAGAACCUUGGCGUGUUUCAGACUUUCAGCAAAUUGUUCUAAAGUGACAUCUCUGCUACUCUAAUGGUGUUCUUUAUGAUAUAUAUGCAGGUUCUUUGGGCUAUACAAAUACAUCAUGUUGAAAGUUCUACAACUUGCAAAUGAUGAUGUUCCCGCAAGGGAAUAUAUCCAACCUCAUCUGGAUGGUCUGACUCAAGUUUUGCAAGAAGAAAACAAAAGGUAACAAACCUCCAAGUGUUCAUGUUUCCUUUUCCUUCCUUGAAAUGUUUCUGUCUUUUGGAUUAAUAUAUUGUAGGCUGAUAAGAGGAAUCACUAUAUUAUGGAUUCUCAAUGAUUGGGUAGUUGAAUGAAGCAAAUUCAGUUGAAUAAAUGGAGGAGCUGGAGGGUUCUCUGAGACGUUGUGGAGGUGCCGCACUCGCCGGCGAGGAGCUCCAGGUCAGAUAGUAGUGUCCGAUAACGAGCAGAGUCCACUUGCGCAAAGGUCAUCCAAUUGGUUUGUAUAUGCCUUUUUUACAUUCUUGCCUUGGCAACAAGAACUAGGAUUGGUUUGAUUUGGUUCAGUUUGAUUUGAUUUUGUAGCUGUGGUAGUGUUUUAUUCUCGGAUAUGAGAUGGAAGAAAGAGAAAAUAUGAACAAGUAAAGGUUCUAAGUUUGACUUAUUUAGAGGUAAUUGUAGAGCUACAACAUGUAAAGGCCCACACUAGACACUACAAACCCCUUCGAAUCUCAUAUCUUAAAAAUGGGACCUCAGAAUUUUCCA
Long non-coding RNA from Hordeum vulgare subsp. vulgare (domesticated barley), 2562 nucleotides. RefSeq lists it as uncharacterized. The record is from RefSeq and is a predicted model, not a curated record. The transcript has 2 exons. Lineage: Eukaryota; Viridiplantae; Streptophyta; Magnoliopsida; Poales; Poaceae.